Salvia splendens (bonfire salvia) is the source of this 1340-nucleotide long non-coding RNA. RefSeq lists it as uncharacterized. NCBI's taxonomy places the organism in Eukaryota, Viridiplantae, Streptophyta, Magnoliopsida, Lamiales, Lamiaceae. The transcript is spliced from 2 exons. The record is from RefSeq and is a predicted model, not a curated record.
CUAAGUCAAAGAAAAAGGAGUCGACAAAAUACUCCCCUUCUCUCUCUCUCGGUACUUCCGACUCCCUUACUCUCCUUCACAAAAAUUCCCCCAAUUUCCAUAGAUCCUCAACUUCCGUCGUCCUACCUCCGUCGCCGCCGCUCCGACGUCGUCCUUAACGUCCAGCCAAGCUGCCUUCGCCGUCAGGCGCCGGGAGACGCUGCUGCUGGAUCGCAAGACUCUCCGUCGCGUGGCGCCUCAGCAGCCACGCCGUCGCUGCUGUUCGCCGCUGUCCCGUCUGCACAGAGCCGUCGGCUGCUGUUCGCCGCUGCUCCAUCGGUGGCCGUGCAGCCCCGAAACAUCACCGCAGCCCCCGAUUCGUCCCGGAACCAACCCGAACAACCCCGAAGCAGCCCGGUUUACAUUCGAAAGAUAAGUUCUCUUUCAAUUAUGUUUCUUUUCAUUUUUAGCUUUCGAUUACACUGUGAUGGGCGUUCGAUUGUUGGAGUUUGAUUGUUGAUGGAAAUUAUGAGUGGGAGUGAUGUAUGAUGAACAUGAUAUGAAUAACACCGAUAAAAAGGAAAGGGACUUACACCUUCGUUGCUAUGAAUUUGAUUGUGAACUUGGUAGAGCCGAAAGGAAUGGCUCCUUGAACUUGGCAGGUUUGAAUCUGUCAACAAUUAUUGCUAAAGUUGAUUUCGAACAGUAGGAAGAAGUCUCCAAAUGAAUUGAUGAAAUGGAUUACCUAGUUUGGAAUUGAAAUGAGAACGAGGCAGCUCUUCUAACUUUUGGUUUCUGCUAUGAAUUUCAUAGAAUCAUUUCAUCAGUUCUAGGUUGUGACGAAUUGGAAUUCAAAGGAAAGUUUGAAAGGAGGUGAUAGAACCUGGAAAUCAAAAGCUCUUCUACUCUCCUUCUCUCUCGGCUCUCUCUCUCUCUCACUUUGUUUUUGCUUGGAUUGCAGGUUGUAACCGUGUUUAUGAGGGAGUGAAAUCAGAAGAAUUAGUUGAGAUUAAAUCCCAUUUAAUCAGGUAAUUAAAAGGUAACGGCUCAAGGAGUGGAGUAGAAGCUGAAGCAUUACUCUGCAGAAAUCUCACGCUGGAAUGGGAGCAGAUUUAUGUCAAUCUGUAGGAACAACCGUGUAGUAUGGAAGAGGGAAGGAUAGGGCUCAAAAUCUAUCUCCCAUAUUUUAUUUAUUUGUUGAAGUUCAUAGGCCCAAAAUGAUUUAUUUUGUUGUAAAAUAAAUCAAGCCCAAACUUAUUUAUUUGCCAUAGAACUCUUCUAUUUUCCAUGGCCCAAAGCCAUCGUGAACCAACGUUUGAACUCUAAUUCUUCAUUUGAGAAGUCCAAGUGUAUUAUUAUUA